CCUUUACCGUGCAAGGUAGCAUAAUCUAUUGUCUUUUAAUUAAAGGCUUGUAUGAAUGGUUGAAUGAGAUAUUAACUAUUUUUAUUUUAAUAAAAAUGAAUUUUAAUUUUUAGUAAAAAUGCUAAAAUAAAAAAAUUAGACGAGAAGACCCUAUAAAUCUUAAUUUUAUUUUUUAUAAUAUUAAUUUUGAAAAUUUUUAAUAAAUUAUAAAAAUAAAAUUUUAUUGGGAGGAUAAUGAAAUUUAAUAAACUUUUAUUUUUUUUUAUAAAUAUAAUUAAAUUAUUGAAUAUAUAAUUAUAAAAUAUUUAAAAAAUUAAGUUACUUUAGGGAUAACAGCGUAAUUAUUUUAAAGAGUUCUUAUCGAUAAAAUAGUUUGCGACCUCGAUGUUGAAUUAAGAAUUAAUUUUAGGUGUAGG
This 416-nucleotide ribosomal RNA is filed under the name Culicoides imicola. RNAcentral describes it as "partial 16S ribosomal RNA". The record is from RNAcentral. Lineage: Eukaryota; Metazoa; Arthropoda; Insecta; Diptera; Ceratopogonidae.